Molecule: long non-coding RNA, 1927 nt
Organism: Salvia splendens (bonfire salvia)
Lineage: Eukaryota; Viridiplantae; Streptophyta; Magnoliopsida; Lamiales; Lamiaceae
Exons: 2
Source: RefSeq, a predicted model, not a curated record
CCUUCCUUAUUCUUCAAAAUUUUUUGGUCAAACUGCCUUCCCACUUUAAUCAAAAUAAUAGGCUCCCCCCUUUUCCUUCCCAUUUUCAAAAUCCCCAAUUUAGAUAGGAACCCUAGCUCUCUCCCUCCUACCUCGGCGACUCCCGCCGCUGUCCGGCCGCCACGCACCGCCGUCUCCGGCGCCAUCUUCCUCCCUAUCUUUCUUCGUCUCUCCCUCUUUCACUUCUCCCUUUCUUUUCUAAUUUGGACAAUUAGUAAAUCCCCAAAUUAAGGAAAUCAAACCCUAGGUAGGCGGCUUUCCCGCUUUCGAGCGUCGUCGCCCCCUUCUUCUCCGGCGAAACCGCCGUCCCCCUUCUUCAUCAGAAUUCGACCUCCUCCCCUGGAUCGCGAGAAUCGAGAGGCAGCGCCUCCAAGUCCCUUUUCGGUACGCCGCUGGCCUCGCCGUCGCGCCUUCGCCGUCGUCGUCUCCCAGCACCGCACGGCGGAGGUCCCGACGCGGUGAAGCAGCUGCCGCCGUCCCGUCAUCUGCCGCAACUCCCGGGUCCCGUCGGAGUUCGCUCGUCGUCGGAUUUCGUCUCGGUGGCCGGCCUUAAGCUAAGUCUUCGAACCCUUAUUAUCUAGCUCAUCUGAUUAGGUGAAUUUUGGUGUUGGAGGGCUUAUAUGUGACUGAUGCUGGGUUUUUUGUGAUUUUCAUUAAGUGAGGAUUGAGUAGAGGCUAUGUGAAAGUCGUUAAACAGUUAUCUGGAGAUUUUUCUGGUUGUUCAUUGUGGUGGGUUUAACCCUUCCAAACUCUACUUGUUAUUGCCAUUAGUCUAAGCGGCAAUUUCUAACAUAUCUUGGCAUUACUUGAUGAUCGUGGCUGCUGCUGCUGCUACUAUCUCGUGUAUCACAUGAUGUUUGAUUAAUUAAAGACAUCUGUCCCAAUAUAAUAAACACAAUUUAUAGUGUGUUUUUCCUAUUAGAGAAUGAAGCAUAUUUCAAGGACGGUGGAUAUUGAUUCUCUAAAGCUGACUCUCAUGCCUUUUUUUUACUAUAAAACCACCAAAUAAUUCACCCUAUCCAUCAAUGCAUGAAAAACAUUUUAUACAUAUAUUGUGGAGAAAGAGAUGGAUCACAAGUAGUACUCAUAGAUAGUCUACUGUCAUGGGGUUCUAAUUGAUAAUGUUGUUAAGUUCCAAAACUGAGUUCUUGAGCAUUUAUGGUUCUACGCCUCUAUGUUAUCUAUGAUGCUCCCUAAAUGAUGCAAAAGGGUGAUGGCGUUACCUAUUGUGGCCGUGGAGAAACGGGCUGCCCUAGUUGUUGCUCUCAAAAAAUGCUCCACUUUCUAACUCUAUAUGCUGCCGAAAUUUGAAGUGUGUGGUAGGGGAGAACUUGAUGCAUAUGAAAGGGGGUUUUAUAGACAAGAACGUGUACUUGUGAAGCAUUAACUUGAGCUGCUGUAUGCCUUGUUUUCUUUCUGCAGCAGAUCCUCUUUUCUGGAUUAUUGCAGCCACUUUAACUGCAUUCCUUGGUGGUGAUUUUUGCAGGUGCACAACAAGGGUGUAGGGCUGUUAACUGUGCUUUGCAGGGCUGCUGCAGCUGAAAAGGCUGAUCUUGCCUCUUGGCAGCCUUCGGUUAGGGCUGGGGAGAGUGCAGGAGCUUGCUGCCACUUAUCCUUCCUAUUUUGGCAAUCCCUUGGUCUUCAUCAAGAACGUGUUUGAGAAAUUGCUGCCAUUGCUGUUGCACCGCCGUUUGCUGGUGAUCUGGGCCCGCUGGUUCUCGAUCGUCGGAAGGGGAUGACUUGAACUUGUGAAGAAUAGAUUCGAGGCAUUUGCAUUAGGCAUUCAUGUAUUACUUGUGUUUUUUUUGUAAGUUAAGUCAUAGCUUGAAAUGUAACUAUUGUAACUCAUUCGACUAAGGAAAUAAACGAGCACAUGUUCAUUCUUCAA